This is a long non-coding RNA of Hemicordylus capensis (graceful crag lizard), 1965 nucleotides long. RefSeq lists it as uncharacterized. NCBI's taxonomy places the organism in Eukaryota, Metazoa, Chordata, Lepidosauria, Squamata, Cordylidae. The record is from RefSeq and is a predicted model, not a curated record. The transcript is spliced from 5 exons.
GGGAAGUUGGGGAGGCGCAGCCACAGACUGGGUCAGAGGGCGAUGCAAGUGCAAUAGGAUUCUACUGCUGACUGGCAAAGUGCAACAAAGCCCACCCCGUCCAGGCACCUUCAGGGGGAAAGCUUUAAUUUACAGCGCCGUGAAGCCAGAGGCAGGGAGACCUGGAUCUCAUCAUGCUGCUGCCCUUGCCCUCUGGACGGCACCGAGAAGCAGCGCUCUGUGGCCCCGAGGGCCCGUCUUCAGUGCCCUCCAGUCAUGACGAAGGCGGCAAUAGCAGGGCUGCACCGCGGCUGCCCAAGUGCGCGCGCUGCAGGAACCACGGCGUGGUCUCCAGCCGCAACGGCCACAAGCGGCUGUGCAUUGUGCAGGUGGCGGGAGUGCGCGUGCGCGGCUUGCUUGCUGGUGCUCGAGCAGCGACGAGUCACGGCGGCCCAGGUGGCGAGUGAGGCAAGUGGGUGUGCGCGCGGGUCUUUUAGCCCUUUCCUGCUAAAAGACAAGGCAUGCGCACAAGAGAGCCUGGAAGGAGGGAUGCGACCGAUCAGCUUCUCUCAUCAACUCCCUGGCUCCCGAAUCUUGCAGAUUGGCGUAAAGUCUCCCACUUAACGAGUUCCAUGACAGGCAGAGAUUCAGCAGGGGAAGUUUGCAGGGAUGGGAAAGACCUCACCUGCUGUCGUACAGCUGUUAAAGGUUACUCUGUUUGGUUAAGAAAGGCAUCAGGAGCCGUGGAUGUUCAGCUUCUGGCUACAGAUUAAACAUUCAUUGUAACUCCAAAAACACAGGCAGCAUACUGGAAAAAAGGGAAUAUCACCCUUCUAGCCUGAAUGAGGAAAAGAAAAGCAUUUGCAGAUAAGGAGCUGGAAUCCAUAAUGUUGGAAAGAGAGCUUGGACAAAGGAAGUUUGACAGAUUUACCACACAUCAGAGAAUACAACUGCUGAACAGAGAGCAAUUGCCAGCCUAUGAGGAAAAUGUAUUCAGAAUAAGACACUAUCAUUUUAGCAACUUGGCAUGUAUUAAUUCUGAGAAUCCCAUCCAGUGGCAUUAUUUCGGAUCACCCGUACCUUUUUGGGGAAAUGGGAGAAGAAAGAACUUCAGUGGGCUGCUGUGACGUUUUUGCCAAAUUCUAUGUUGAUAAGGUUUUUGAUGUUGCUUCCACUGGGCAGCUCUAUUCCUUCUGUUUUUGUUAUUUUUCCUUGGUUCAUUGGUGAUGUAGCACACUUGUCUAGUCCAAAUUCCAUUGCUAUAUUGAGCCACGCCCCACCCCACCCGGCUUCAGCGGCCCCUACCAUUGGCGGCCCAGGUUCUUUGGACCCAUUCACACAAUGGUGGCUACACUCCUGAAAGGAAGAUCUUAAAGGGGUCUGGCCCCUCACCAGGCUCACGGUUCAAGGCAGCAAUUGGCCCCAUGUCUCAGCUACUGUAAUACCCUGGGCACCUUGGAAUACCUUGUUUCUAAUUACUUGAAGCUUUAUGUAGCCCAUUUUGGUAUCUUACCUUUUAUUUUUUAUUUUAUUUAGCAUAUUUGUAUACCACCCACUACCGAAGUCGCUAGGUGGUUUACAACAUUAAAACAAACAAACCACACACUGAGUGGAUUAAAACAAACCAGCUACACACUUGUAUCACACUGAAUGCUCCUACAUUUUAAAGCUCUGUCACAACCCCCGUGAGCUAGAAAAGUGAUAUUGUAAUGUAAAGAAUAAAAGCAGAAUUUCUGUGGAAUUUACGUGAGCCAUCCAAUUCUGUGUCAGACCAUAUAGGCAGCUUUGGAAAACAUGUGAUUAAAAAUUGUAUUUGAGAAUGAUGCAUCUGAGAGUGUGUUGCUGGUGUUUUGCUUCAUAGACCUUCUGAAUACUUCCAACUGUAAUUAAUUUACUCUGAGGCAAACACUUUGCCUAUUGUGUGCUCUCAUAAGCCUUGCUUAUUUAUUUAUUUAUUUAAACAAUAAAAUGGCCAAAUGAGGAAAA